This 249-nucleotide ribosomal RNA is filed under the name uncultured bacterium. RNAcentral's name for it is "partial 16S ribosomal RNA". It matches the Rfam family "Bacterial small subunit ribosomal RNA", at positions 524 to 770 of the family's 1533-position model. The record is from RNAcentral.
UACGGAGGGUGCAAGCGUUAUCCGGAUUCACUGGGUUUAAAGGGUGCGUAGGUGGGUCUGUAAGUCAGUGGUGAAAUCUUCGAGCUUAACUCGGAAACUGCCAUUGAUACUAUAGAUCUUGAAUUUUCUGGAGGUAAGCGGAAUAUGUCAUGUAGCGGUGAAAUGCUUAGAUAUGACAUAGAACACCAAUUGCGAAAGGCAGCUUACUACGGGAACAUUGACACUGAGGCACGAAAAGCGUGGGGGAUC